GUUUUAGAUCUCUGCGAAGAAACAUUGAAAGAACACGUUCGUACUCAAAGAUUGGAAUAUCUGCAAGAUCAUGGUCCAAGAAUGAUUAAAGAAAUCUUAAGCGGAAUUGAAUUUCUUCACAGUCUAAAAAUUUUGCACAGAGAUCUCAAACCAUCAAAUGUCUUGGUUGAUCUCGAAGGUCACAUGAGAUUGGCAGACUUCGGAAUAAGUCGUGUUUUGAAUGAAGAAGAAACCACAGUUUAUACUGGUGCGAAGGGAACCCGAGACUGGAUGCCCACCGAAGUAAUUGAAGCAAUAGCUAAAAAAGAGAUAGGACGUUUUAAAAAAAAAUCCGACGUUCAGGUCGCAGGUAUGAUCGCUUUCUUCAUUUCAACCAAAGGUGAACAUCCUUUUGGUCCUGUGCUUGAACGAAUGACAAACAUCUCGAAAGGAAAUCCUGUUAACAUGGACAUGCUUCACGAUCUUCAAGUUCGGAAAUUUAUUUCAUGGUUGAUCAGUCAUAACAUUGAUGAUAGACCUUAUGCUGCUGAGGCGUUGGUGGAUCCCUUUAUGGUUCAUGUAACAAAUUCUCUCAGGAAAAUUACAUUACAAAAGUCCCGUACAUAGCAAAAUACUUUU
Non-coding RNA from Paramuricea clavata, 618 nucleotides. Lineage: Eukaryota; Metazoa; Cnidaria; Anthozoa; Malacalcyonacea; Plexauridae. The record is from the annotation of a GenBank genome assembly.